CGGCAGGACGUGCAUGGGCAAUAGCGCACCUGACUUUUAAUCAGGUUGUCGGGGGUCCGAAUCCCCUCCGGCCCA
Molecule: transfer RNA, 75 nt
Filed under: Candidatus Woesearchaeota archaeon CG07_land_8_20_14_0_80_44_23
Lineage: Archaea; Nanobdellati; Candidatus Woesearchaeota
Also listed under: 1 other name
Description: tRNA-Lys
Rfam family: tRNA
About the family: Transfer RNA (tRNA) molecules are approximately 80 nucleotides in length. Their secondary structure includes four short double-helical elements and three loops (D, anti-codon, and T loops).
Source: RNAcentral